Long non-coding RNA from Anguilla anguilla (European eel), 601 nucleotides. RefSeq lists it as uncharacterized. NCBI's taxonomy places the organism in Eukaryota, Metazoa, Chordata, Actinopteri, Anguilliformes, Anguillidae. The transcript has 3 exons. The record is from RefSeq and is a predicted model, not a curated record.
UCAGGUGCUGCCGUCCUGCAGGGGAGGUUUGGCUGUGAGAUCGAGCUAAACCCUGACUCUGGUGCAAGACUUAGGAGGACCUUUGCUCAGUAUGGAUGGAACGGAGAAGACUUCCUGUCCUUGAACCUCAGCAGGCUUCAGUGGGAGGCUUCAGCAGGAUCUGCUGUCCCCAUUACAAGGAAGUGGAACAGGGACCGGAACAUCACUGUGGAAACUAAGGACUACAUAGAUUUCAUCAGUGUAUAUCACCUGGAGAGAAGUUUUUCUUUUGAAGCAAAGGAGAGCCAGGAGACAGCUCAGCCCACAGCUGCAGUAUUCGCUAAGAGAUCCCUGAACCCUGGGAAGGUUAUUCUGACCUGCCUAGUUUCAGGAUUUCACUGCAGUAACACAACGGUUGAGGUUUAUCGGGAUGAUGACAUCAUCACUGAAGAAGAUGGCCUUUUGUCCUCUGGGAUCAGACCAAACGGGGAUGGGACCUGCCAGCUGAGAAAGAGUUUGGACAUCUCUAACAGCAUUGAGGCAUCGUAUAGCUGUGAAGUCCUGUUCGGAAGUCUUAAACGACUGGUCAAAUGGGAUGGGAAAAUAUGGGACCGGGCUGAAC